AUUCUUAGAAGAAAAAAUGCCAAUUGGAUUUCCAAGAGCUCUAAUAUUAGAAAGUAGCCCCAAGUUUGCACUCCAGAUUGGAGGACAACUUUCCGAAGCAGGGCCUCAUUAUACAGCCCACUCCGGAACACAGGAUAUGAUGGCUUCAGCCUCCUGAUUGUUGGGAUUACAGGUAUGAGCCAGCAUGCCCAGGCUGAUGCUCCGACAGAUCCCCCAGAUGGAUGUCAAGAACACACGCCGGGACCGCCAGGCCGCUGCUCCUCCCUCCGCGUGCACCUGUUGUCUCUCCUAACUGGUCCCACAUCUCAGUAACCCUGGGCAGGGGGUCUGCAUAUGAACUGCAGAUAAAGCAAGUAGGAAAUAAAGCAAGUGUACUACCCCUCCUGACCCGGCACACAUGACAGAUGCCGUUAAUAAAUCUCAGUUCUGUUUCUCAUUGGGCCCA
Molecule: long non-coding RNA, 445 nt
Organism: Mesocricetus auratus (golden hamster)
Lineage: Eukaryota; Metazoa; Chordata; Mammalia; Rodentia; Cricetidae
Exons: 2
Source: RefSeq, a predicted model, not a curated record